GAGAGUCUGGGCUUUGCUGAUGCUGGGCUAAAAGGUGAGCUUAAAUGUGUUGUUUCACUGCCUCUAACCAUAGCACAUUCCAGGUCAGAGGAGGGAGACCUGCAAUCCUUCUGUAUCCUCUUUUCUUUGCCUUUUAGAUACAAAAGAUCAUUGAGACACUGUCACAGCAGCUUCAGGCAAAGGGAAAAGAACUCAAUGAAUUCCGGGAAAAGCACAACAUUCGUCUUAUGGGAGAAGAUGAGAAGCCAGCAGCCAAGGAAAACUCAGAAGGAGCUGGGGCUAAGUCCAGCUCAGCAGGGGUGCUGGUCUCUUAGGGACUAAGGCCUCUGCAUUCUAUUUUACCCUGAUUCCCACUUCUAAUUUCUUUUUAUUGUUAUUAUUAUUUUUCUGCUAUUGUAAUUUUUUUGUUGUUGUUAAUUAAAUGUUUUGGUCAAAUACUU
This 440-nucleotide long non-coding RNA is filed under the name Rattus norvegicus (Norway rat). Its description in RNAcentral is "long non-coding RNA NONRATT008451". The record is from RNAcentral. Lineage: Eukaryota; Metazoa; Chordata; Mammalia; Rodentia; Muridae.